ACAUACGGCCAUAGAUCAAAGAGAACUGGGUAUCCCGUCCGCUCUGCCCUCACAUAAGCCUUGAAUCGGUAGAUUAGUAGUUAGAUGGGUGACCACUAGCGAAUACCUACUGCUGUAUGUU
Molecule: ribosomal RNA, 121 nt
Filed under: Coniosporium apollinis CBS 100218
Lineage: Eukaryota; Fungi; Ascomycota; Dothideomycetes
Source: RNAcentral